Molecule: ribosomal RNA, 627 nt
Filed under: Citrobacter freundii
Lineage: Bacteria; Pseudomonadati; Pseudomonadota; Gammaproteobacteria; Enterobacterales; Enterobacteriaceae
Description: bacterial SSU rRNA
Rfam family: Bacterial small subunit ribosomal RNA
Source: RNAcentral
UGUGAAAUCCCCGGGCUCAACCUGGGAACUGCAUCCGAAACUGGCAGGCUAGCUUGUAGGGGGGGUAGAAUUCCAGGUUAGCGGUGAAAUGCGUAAUCUGGAGGCCGGUGGCGAAGGCGGCCCCCUGGACAAAGACUGACGCUCAGGUGCGAAAGCGUGGCAAACAGGAUUAGAUCCUGGUAGUCCACGCCGUAACGAUGUCGACUUGGAGGUUGCCCUUGAGGCGUGGCUUCCGGAGCUACGCGUUAAGUCGACCGCCUGGGGAGUACGGCCGCAAGGAAAACUCAAAUGAAUUGAGGGGGCCCGCACAAGCGGUGGAGCAUGUGGUUUAAUUCGUGCAACGCGAGAACCUUACCUACUCUUGAAUCCAGAGAACUUAGCAGAGAUGCUUUGGUGCCUUCGGGAACUCUGAGCAGGUGCUGCAUGGCUGUCGUCAGCUCGUGAAAUGUUGGGUUAAUCCCGCAACGAGCGCAACCUUAUCCUUUGUUGCCAGCGAUCGGCCGGGACUCAAAGGGACUGCCAGUGAUAAACUGAGGAAGGUGGAUGACGUCAAGUCAUCAGGCCCUUACAGUAGGGCACACACGUGCUACAAUGGCAUAUACAAAGAAAGCGACCCGCGAGAGCAAG